AGAAACUUAGGAUUAACCAAAA
RNAcentral lists this transfer RNA (22 nucleotides) under Tyto multipunctata (Lesser sooty-owl). RNAcentral describes it as "partial tRNA-Trp". The record is from RNAcentral. RNAcentral also lists the same sequence under 2 other names. Lineage: Eukaryota; Metazoa; Chordata; Aves; Strigiformes; Tytonidae.